AAAUUGUUGCUAUUAGUUUUUUAACAGGGUAGUGCUUAGCGCUUAUAAUAAUUAGCAGUUGCUUCAUUUAAUUCUUAUAACUGCAUAAUGACUACCGAGGCUAGAUGCAAAGAAUUAAUAAAGAAGCGCGCUUCAAUUAAGGCUAAGCUUACACAGUUUAUCGCUUACUUAAAUACUGCGAAAACUUGUGAUCAACUCAGUGAUUCGCAGUUAGUGGAAUUAGACAUGCGUAUUAAAAAACUUGAUGAUUCAUACAACUCUUUUGAUACUUACCAGAGCGAAUUGGAGAUGCUGGCUGAGGAUCCUGCCGAGCAAUAUGGUGAACGCGAGCUGUUCGAGCGGUCUUACUACAAAGAGAUUGCCGCCGCUCGGGAGCUGGUGGACAGGCACCGCAGCCAUCGCGCCAAGGAGGUUCAAUCCGAGGUAGGCUCCAAUGAAUGCCCAACAGUAGUGUCUUAUAAGCACAACAAUGUAAGGUUGCCAAAAAUUAAUUUGCCGCACUUCAGCGGUGGUUAUCAGAAUUGGCUGGAGUUUAAAGACAUUUAUGUUUCCUUAAUUCAUUCUGAGACAAGUAUCGACAAUAUUAACAAGUUUCACUACCUACGCGCCUCUCUUCAUGGAAGCGCGGCGUUGGUAAUUAGGAGCUUGGACUUUAAGGGGGAUAACUACGAUGCCGCUUGGAAACUCCUUUGUGAACGAUACGACAACAAACAGUUGCUUGUCAAUAAUCACGUGCAGGCACUUUUUAAUAUUGAACAGGUGCAUAAAGAGUCAAGUGUAGCCUUGCGCCAGAUUGUUGACAACACAAAAAAGAAUUUAAAUGCCUUAGCAACUUUAGACCAGCCCGUACAGCAUUGGGAUACAUUAAUUAUCCACAUAAUGGCAGCCAAAUUAGACGGAAUUACAAGUAGGGAAUGGGAAGAACAUAGGAAUCAGUUGACAAACCCUCCUGCACUUAGCGAUUUUAUAACAUUUCUUACCAAUAGGUGCAAUCUUUUGGAAACCUUAGAAGAAGCCAAGCAUAACAGGGUUAGGACGGACACGUCUGUCAUCAAUAAACCAAAAAGCCUUCUGGCUUCAGCAAGUAACGUUAGUAAACCUAAAACAUAUAACGUAACUUGCCCUUUAUGUAAUAAAGCUCAUUACGUCUUCAAUUGCGAAAAUUUCAGGGCUUUGCCAGUAGAACAACGCGUGCUUAAGGCAAAGGAAUUUAAGGUAUGCCUAAAUUGCUUACGUCCCGGUCAUAACGAUAGUAAGUGCAAACUUAGUCACUGCAAGUAUUGCAAGACUAAGCAUAACACACUUCUUCACGUCCAUACGGAACCUAAGACCGCGUCAGAACACUUAGCCUUUUCCGCGAAUGCCCACAAUGUUGAUGAAUCCGAGCAUGUCUUGCUUUCAACAGCCCUAGUCAAGGUGCGCGAUAGUGAGGGAAAAUUGCACAGCGCCAGGGUCUUAUUAGAUAAUGCCAGUACAUCUAAUUACAUAACUAGGGACUUAUCUAAGAAACUGAAUCUGCCGGUUAAAAAUGUCAACACUACAGUGUCCAUGCUUGAGAAGCAUGAAUCAAAUAUCACCCAAUCAUGCUCUCUUAAAUUGGAGUCAUAUGAUGGGGGUUAUAGCACUGACAUAAAGUGCAGCAUAUUGUCCGACAUUACGUCACCAAUACCUUAUACAUACAUUGACGCAACGGACGUACCCAUACCUUCGGGAAUUUGCCUCGCCGAUCCGUCAUACACUGAACCCGCUGACAUUGAGAUUCUUCUUGGGGCUAAAAUCUUUUGGAGAGUUCUCGGCAGCAAUCGCAUUAUCUUAGGCAAAGAUGAUGAUCCCUUCCUCGUUGAGACAAGGCUAGGUUGGCUCUUAGUAGGCGCCAUAGAUCAACCAGCCUCUGUCAAACCAGUUUGCUUGUUCUUGACUGACAAACAAACUGACACGACUCUUACGAAAUUUUGGGAACUUGAUACCAUAUCCCCGAAACAUGACUUCACAUCGGACGAAAACACAUGUGAAGAACUUUUUAAUAAAACUACUAAGAGAGAUAAAGACGGACGUUUUGUGGUUACCGUUCCUCUUAAGGAAUCUCCCGAUGCUUUAGGAGACUCGUACGGGAUGGCCAAGCGUAGGUUUUUAUCUCUCGAACGCAGGUUAGAUAGGGACUCCUUAUUAAAGGAGCGCUAUGUAAAUUUCAUGGAGGAAUAUGAGGCUUUGGGUCACAUGAGUGAAACUUUGCCUUGCAGUUCAUUACCGUCGUAUUAUUUGCCCCACCACGCCGUGUUAAGAGAGUCUAGCACGACUACUAAGCUGCGUGUGGUAUUCGACGCUUCAGCUGCCACUACAUCAGGACAAUCUUUUAACGACAUCCAGUUAAUAGGACCCAGGGUUCAGGACGACUUAUUUUCCAUUUUACUACGGUUUCGUCAACAUAAAUAUGUAGUGUCAGCUGACAUCGAGAAAAUGUAUCGGCAAAUUCUUGUGGACGACGAACAACGUCAACUUCAGUUGAUCUUAUGGAGGGCAGACCCUUCAAAGCCGCUUAAAAUUUAUUCCCUUAAUACCGUGACUUACGGGACGUCAUCAGCUCCGUUUCUGAGUACACGGUGCCUCUUACAGCUAUCACAAGAAUCCAGUGACAAGCAAACGAAGGAAGCGAUCGCCAGGGAUUUUUAUGUAGACGACUUCCUAUCUGGCUCUCAUUCUAUAGAUGAUACUGUGGCACUAUGUCGUAAUGUAAUAGAUACGCUGGAAAAUGCUCAAUUCCACUUGCGUAAGUGGCAGUCUAAUAAUAAAGAAAUUCUUAAAGCCGUUGGUGAGGAUUCAUGUCUGACAGAAUGUGUGGAUCUCAGCGAGAACGAGCUGUCUAAAACAUUAGGCCUUAAUUGGAGAUGCGCUCAAGACAGUCUUACAUUUCGCAUAGACAUCUCGUUACCAAAGGUAGUCACUAAAAGACACAUUCUUUCAGUCAUAGCCCAAAUUUUUGACCCUUUAGGAUUAGUAACGCCUUGUAUCGUGCAGGCGAAAAUAAUCAUGCAGAAACUUUGGGUAAACCAGUGUUCUUGGGAUGAUCCGCUUACAGGAGACAUACUUACAUCCUGGGAAGACUUUGUAAAAACUCUGCCUUAUCUUAAUAAUAUCCAUAUACCUCGCUGGGUCUUGUGCAAUACUCCUACGGCUGUUGAUUUCCACGUCUUCACUGAUGCGUCGGAGAAAGCAUACGGAGCUUGCCUGUACGUCCGCUCCGUGGCCGGGGAUGGCUCAGUGAGUGUUCACCUACUGGCAUCUAAAAGUAAAGUCGCGCCGAUUAAAGUCACAACUAUUCCGCGUCUCGAGCUUUGCGGGGCCUUAUUAGGCGCAAGAUUGUGUACAAAGGUUCUUGAGUCACUUACCCGGAAACCAGACCAUUGCGUAUUUUGGUGUGACUCGAUGAGUCAUGGGUUGGCUAUCAUCUUCUCCUUGUUCAUUACGUCCUUUUGUCAAAAACCGGAUAUCAGAGAUCCAGGAAAGCUCCAGAGCCGCUUCUUGGCGCUACGUGCCUUCAAAGGAGAAUCCUGCAGAUCUGGUGUCUCGAGGUUUAGGUGCCGACCUCAUAAUGAACUCUUCCUUGUGGUGGUCGGGACCAUCCUUCUUGAAACAGGACAUGGCCUAUUGGCCGACUGCACCAAAGUCUAGUAACCAGUCUCCACUGCCAGAGAUGUUACCGGCCAAGGCAUUUGUCGCAUGUCCCGCCCCUAAUAACGCUGAUAACCAAAUAGAACAUUUAAUUAAAAACAAAUCAUCUUAUUCAAAAUUGCAACGGGUAAUAGCGUAUAUUCUUAGAUUCAUACACAAUUGUAAAAAAGAAAAUACUAAGACAACCGGUGGUCUUAACUUAGUUGAGCUAGAAUCGGCUUCAGUUCUACUUCUUCGCAGGUCCCAACAAGACUCAUUUCCUGACGAGUAUGAGCUUCUUAAAACAGGAAAACCAUUGCCAAAGAAAAGCCGGCUUAGUUCGCUAUCGCCAUUUUUUGAUUCAGGGCUUAUUAGAGUCGGGGGUCGACUGGUUAACUCAUAUUAUGACUAUGGCACAAAGCAUCCUAUAGUCAUCUGUAGUAAGCAUCAUCUCGCAAGGUUGCUUUUUAAAAUGUUCCACUUACGUCUACUUCACGCGCCUCCUCAAUUACUUCUAGCGACUAUAAAACUUAACUACUGGCCGCUCGGAGGAAGAAACUUAGCAAAACAGGUUGUCCAUACUUGUCUCAAAUGUGUUCGAUUGAAAGGUGAAACAGUGCAACCAAUAAUGGGUAACUUGCCGAAAGAAAGGUUGCACCUUGAAUAUCCGUUCCUUGAAACAGGCACCGAUUACGCCGGUCCAAUUCUUAUAGCUGACCGCAAAGGUAGAGGGUGUAGGCUCGUAAAGGCCUAUAUUUGCAUAUUUGUGUGUUUAGCAUCCAAGGCACUUCAUUUGGAGCUUGUUUCGGAUUUGACCAAGGAAGCUUUUAUGGCAGCUCUUAACCGAUUUAUUGGUCGUCGUGGCAAGCCAAGGGUACCAGCGCAUCGAGUUCCUUAAACAGCACUUCUGGAACAGGUUCUCCACUGAGUAUAUUUCUGGCCUGCAACAGAGAACCAAAUGGCAGAGCUCAAGGGGCAAACUCGACGUCGGAACCAUGGUAGUAAUCAAGGACAAGAAUCUACCGCCGCUUAUGUGGCUGCUCGGCCGCAUUGUCCAAGUACUGCCUGGCAGAGAUGGCAUCGCAAGAGUAGCCGACAUAAAGACGAAAAAGGGAGUCAUUCGUCGGGCCUUCAACACAAUUUGUCCUCUACCCAUCCAAGAUCUUGAAGACCCAAGCUCUUCAAUGCCGGGAGUAUAUGUUGGUAACAAUACCGCCGC
RNA transcript from Cydia amplana, 4867 nucleotides. RefSeq lists it as uncharacterized. NCBI's taxonomy places the organism in Eukaryota, Metazoa, Arthropoda, Insecta, Lepidoptera, Tortricidae. The record is from RefSeq and is a predicted model, not a curated record. The transcript is spliced from 2 exons.